This 314-nucleotide unclassified non-coding RNA is filed under the name plant metagenome. Its description in RNAcentral is "partial contains 5.8S ribosomal RNA, internal transcribed spacer 2, and large subunit ribosomal RNA". The stretch from base 1 to 105 matches the Rfam family "5.8S ribosomal RNA", at positions 50 to 154 of the family's 154-position model. The record is from RNAcentral.
GAAAUGCGAUAAUUAAUGUGAAUUGCAGAAUUCAGUGAAUCAUCGAGUCUUUGAACGCACAUUGCGCCCCCUGGUAUUCCGGGGGGCAUGCCUGUCCGAGCGUCAUUGCUGCCCUCAAGCACGGCUUGUGUGUUGGGCUUCCGUCCCUGGCAACGGGGACGGGCCCAAAAGGCAGUGGCGGCACCAUGUCUGGUCCUCGAGCGUAUGGGGCUUUGUCACCCGCUCCCGUAGGUCCAGCUGGCAGCUAGCCUCGCAACCAAUCUUUUUAACCAGGUUGACCUCGGAUCAGGUAGUGAUACCCGCUGAACUUAAGA